GGGGAUGUAUUUAUUUGCUGACCUGCUUCAAACUUAAGAUAGCUAGAGGUAGUUGAUGAAACUACCUAAAAAAAUCAUCACCUUGGAUAAAUGCCAAGAACUUUAUGGCUAGCUUGAAGAACGCUUUCAGCUUUCCUUCAACUUUAGCCACCGUCGCAGUUUAAAACCUGCGGCCAUCCGUUUUGGCAACGCCCGAUAGCCAACAACGGGUGUCAUAUUAUCGGGCUAGAAAAUCGGGUCGCUUUAGCCCGGUUUUCAAAACCAUUUAAAGCUUGGACCGAUUGAUUUUGUUCUUUUAAACGGUUGGUCUGAAAUUUAAAAAGAACUAUUCUAGUAGAAGUUUUAAUUUGAACCGGUUACACGCGGGCGCAAUACCCGCCAUCUCCACCA
Molecule: transfer-messenger RNA, 390 nt
Filed under: Candidatus Komeilibacteria bacterium
Lineage: Bacteria; Candidatus Komeiliibacteriota
Rfam family: transfer-messenger RNA
About the family: Bacterial tmRNA, also known as 10Sa RNA or SsrA, is named for its dual tRNA and mRNA-like properties. Its role is to liberate the mRNA from a stalled ribosome.
Source: RNAcentral